UUUGACUUCAAGAUAAUCUUGUGACAUCCACAACUCAAUCAACUUAUCUUUAUAAAUUUCAUAAUCCUUAGGAAACGUGGCACAAUACAAGAGACAACGUUUGGACAGUGGUUCUAAAUCAUAGUAACUUAGUAGUAAAGGUUGAAAAACCUGCUGCUCAACCUCUUGUAUUUCCCAUAUCUUACUAUUUAAAACAUCUACCCAUUGCUCUAUUGUAUUCUUAUACCGCAUUAGACUACCCAAAGUCUUUGCAGCAAGAGGCAAGCCUUUGCACCUUUUUACAAUUUUAUUACCAAUAUCUUUAAACUUUUCAGACUCUUUUCUUUCACCAUCGAAAAAUGCAAUAUGAUAGAACAAUGACUGACAAGUUUCUUCACUUAACUCCUGUAAACGGAUAGUGUUACCGCUAGUCGUUCCCAUUGCACUAGCAACUUGCGCUAUACGCGUUGUAACUAAAAUCCUACUCCCUGAGGCACCACAGAGUAAUGUUGUCAAGAAGGGCUCCCACUUUCUAUGAUCUGAGUCCCAAACAUCAUCUAGGACGAGAAGGAACUUCCUGCCCUCAAUAGAGUUAGAUAUAUGUUGAACAUAUGUUUCUAACUCAUCUGAAUUUGGGACAACUACUUUAAGACUCUCUAGGAUGGCUUUUGCAACCGCAAUUUGUACAAAGGGUUCUGAGACACAAACCCAUAUUCUUGUAUGAAAACAAUCUUUUACCAUAUCAUCAUUAUAGGCUAGUUGGGCAAGAGUUGUUUUUCCUAUCCCCCCUAAACCAACAAUAGAUAUGACAAGAGGCUUCUUCCUUUCUUCACUAUUCUCACUCACUAACUGGCUCACUAGUUUAUUCAUUUCAUAGUCCCUACCAAAUGUCCCAGAUUUAUCGACAAUAGAAAAACUUUUCAAUCGAGCAGGUUGCUCAAUUUCAGUUUCAUUGCGAUGGAAAUUAUAAAAUUUCCGUUGUUCGUGAAUCAAAGCUAACUUCUCAUUCAGCUCUUUUAUCCUCACAGCAAUGUCACGACGAAAAAUUAUCUGAUUGACUUGGCUAUUGCAAAGACAAUGCAUGGGAAUAGAGAAACAUACCUUCUUCUUAGGUAUAAUAGCAUUUUCACCUUGUUUCUCGAUUUGCUGUUUCAGGAUUUCAUACCUCCACUCGUCCACCACAUCGUCUAUCUCAAACGACACUUCUUUGAGAUUGUUGAGCCAGCGUCUCACGUUGGCCUCCUUCACUUGCCUCCUCUCUGCAUCCGCAAGCACAUCUUGAAUAGUUUCAAGGUUAAGGGUGAGGUUUAUUACUUCUUUUUUGACAUUCACAACAAGUCUCACGUUUUGUUCAACUUGUUGGAAAAGGAUAGAACCCAACUGUUGUACAAGGAAGGAUACAAGUGCUUCAGACAUUUUGGUGUUUGGAAAUGGAUCGACUGACGACAAGAAAUUGGAAAGGGAGAAGAUGAACUAGCUCAAAGUAGGAAGAAUUUCUUGUGUACACACAAAGGGCAAGUGACACGGUGGAGAAGAAAUCAAGAAGAUGUGGUUGUGGUUUCCUCCCUACAAACCAGCUUUAUAUAAUGAGAAGUGAAGAUAUCUUGGUGGAAAAUUUAAGCAUCAGUAUUUGGUACACAAGCAGUAAACCAUUAACAAGCGAGGAAUUUUUGAAUGCUUAGGGAGAACGUAAUUCUUUGUCCAUUGCCUUUAUUCUCCUCACUUUGUUCCUUACUUGUUAGCAACCAAAUACAAAUGAUUCAAAUGAAGAUUUAUCCAUCCCAUGUUAUUCCUUACUUCUAAGCAACCAAAUUGAUAUGAAAUUCUUCUCAAAACAAAUAUGACAUGAAGAUUGCUAGAUCCAUGCACAACUUCUUUCUCAAGAACCCUACUUAUUGUUUUCCUUUACUUUUUAUCAUAGUGUUUCUAUUCUAUGAUCUUCAUUUCCCAUGGUUCUCCUGUUCUCCUUUUUCUAUUUCAAUGUUAUAUUUAUUUUUUUUAUUUUUUCAAAAUGGUUUCAAAUUCAAUUUUGGUUUGGUCUCUGCACGGAAUCAGCGUUUCUCCUACCAAUGCCUACAAAGUAUAACUCCAUUAACACAUCAUUUUUAUUAUUACCACACCAUUUCAGUUUUAUUUACAAUUAUGUUACUUGAAUUUGUUACAUGAUUGACUCUCGAUCAUAAAUAUGGUGCGUUAAUAACACCAACUUUUAAAUAAAUGCUAAAUCACUUUCUUUCCGGGUCUGUACUCUGUUCUGUUUAGGAUGAGUUUCAAACCCUAGGAGAGAAUAAAAUCCCCUACGACCAAAUAGAAAACAAAUAACAAACUGAGACUCCAUCCAACAUCAGGUUCAACUUUAUUUCCCAGGAAAGCAAUCAACUUCAUGCAGCAUAUAUCAAACCCGCAAAAAUUAAAGAAAUUUGGUUGUUCCAGAAGUAGAUACAGAUUUUAUUUACAGAGCAAACGGUGCUUUUUUUAGGAAAGGCAUACACAUUACACAAAUCAAACAUACUCGAAGAUCGAGUUUUCUUCGUAUCUCUGGCAGGAUUUUAGAAUUCCCUCUCAGGGAACAGAAUUGGAGCCAAAAGGGACCAGAUGUAGAGAUCUGCAGUUGCCCAACUAGGCAUGACCCUCACCCAGACGGACGGCCACCCCACAUCAAUCAGCUGACUUGGCUUUCUCAUUUUCUUCACGUUCUUCCGGCUUAUCCAAUGGGAGCAGUGGUUUCCCAGCACCUUCACCAUGCAACUGGUUUUAAAAAAAUUAAAUUAAUUGUUUGCAGAUACAAAACUUGAUAAGCCUUUCGAAUUAAAAACCAAUCAUCAAGGACAGUUGUUCAAAAAAUUAAAACCUCAUUGUAAGUCAGUUUUGAUGUACAAUUUUCACAGAAAAAUAGAGCAACUUCAUAAAAGCCAAAACAUUUAAAGAUACUGUCACGAAUUACCUGCACGAGGUGAACUAGGCGGGGACAAAAGAGUUGUGGAAGAUCCAGCACGCACAGCAGAAUAAACCACAGAAAGAACAGUGGUAAGCAAACCUAAGGUAAGAGUCCCAGUGGAAACAGCUUUAGAAUGCUUGUGGAGACCAUUGCACUCAUAGUCCCUCGGCUCACUAGCAAGUGCACUAUAGCAGAGAUAUGUACAGUACACAGAUAUAACUGACGCGGGUAAAAUGCUGCCACCUACCUGUGUAACAUCAAAAUAGAGACCAAGGAAUCCAAAAGGUCAUUACAUUUAACAAUGAAUUUGCACAUUUCUACAUACAAAACAGAAUUACAUACAAUAUCCAGGUAUUUAUAAUAUGAAAAUCUGGUUGACCGGUUUACCCAAAAAAAAAAAUUUCUAUGCAACCAGAAAGCUAAGCAACAUGCAAGUACUGUGUUGGAUUUAUGAUGGGACUCAUAUUAGGAGAUACAAUAAAUGAAUAUACCAAUCAAAUGUAAAACUGGAGCAUUGGUAUUGUAUCUGGUUUUUCUUAUUUGGCCAGCAGUUAGUCUUAUGUCAUCUCAAGAGCAUAAACCACUGUCUUCAAAAAGAACAGUGACGUAGUUAUAUCAUCAGGGUUUAAAUUAUAAACCACUGUCUUCAAAAAGGACAGUGACGUAGUUAUAUUAAACUUAAAAUGUGAAUAUUCUAAUAAACAAGAACAAAGUCUAUUGAUCAAUCCCUCUAUGUUAGCUUUCUUUCUUAUCUAUUGAUCAAUCCCUCUAUGUUGGCUUUCUUUCUUAUCAUUCUAGGGAAUUAAAUUUGUGGUUUCUGUGUGGCUACUAACGAUGAUAUCCUUAUAAAACCUAAAAGGGCUUCUCUUAAUUAAAGUGCGCUAGAAGUUAGGAAUCUACAUUAGUGAAUAUGGUACUAACAAAGCAUAAAAGGUUAUAGAGACAGUAAUAGAAGCAAUAAAACAUGAUUAAGAAACUUACAGUAGGAUGCAGUGCCACUAUAAGAAAAACGAAAACGAAUAUCAGAGUCAUUACGAUGAAGAAGGUAUUGAGUCUGCAGUCAUGUCCAGAUGGCGUGAACAAAUGGAAAAGAAGUCCACAGAAGACGAAUGUUGCCAGAUAACAAACUAGAGAAACAACAAAAAGAGCAACAUACCUGUGUAAACAAUGAAGAUAGAACUAAACUCAGAAAAUGGAAGUACAAAUCUGAAUAUACACACGACAAUUAUGAAAGAAUAAACUAACCAGAACUGCUCAUCAUAUGAAACCCAUUUGUUGUUCCAUCCAUGAACAAAAUCCAACAGAAGCACAACUUGUACGAGAAGAAAGAAUCCUGAGCCAAACUUUGCAAUUGUCUCUGCAUAAAUGACAUAUAAUUAUCAAUAUUGGCCAAAUAAUUCAAAUGCACAAUUUUCAAAUGACAAAUUUUACGUAAACUUAAUUGUAGUCAUUUUCAUCUAUCUACAAUUAUAUGAUUUCAAGGAGUUUGUUGUCUGUUCAACAUUUAAUAGCUCAUCUAGUUUAGCAUUGAACUGAGGCUUAGCAAUUAUCUCCUGAUGGCCUAGAAAUUGUACAAACCGCAGGUCCGCAGUGCAAAAUAGGGUUAUAUACAUUCUAAUGAGAAGAGGUCAUUCGAGCGUAGCUAAAUAGGUACUAUGUUUACAUAUAGAUCCCUAAGUUGUUACAUUCUAUUUAGGAUUAGGAUAGGCAUAAUCAGACCUGCUUUUUACAUCUUUGAAAAGAAGAUAAAAGUAAGGGUAUAAAUAGUCCUUACCAUAGAAACUAAUAAACCCAUUUGGCACGAAAUACAAGGAGAAGAGCACCAAGAGGAACCAGCAAGUGACUUUCAUCAUCCAUCCACCAUGGUGGAUACUGUCACGGGGAUCCUUCUGCCUCUUGACACCAAUCAUCACAACAGACAGGAUGGUGAAGAACAGAGUAUGAGUCAGAAUUUCAUAUUAUAGUAUGAGAUUGAGAAUAUAUGUUUGACACCCGCUUGGUAGAGUGAAGGAGCUCAGGUGGUAUCUUGUAGAGGUCUUCAUCAACCGGCUUGGGAGGCCUCCUUGGUCGCAAAACGGCAUCGUUGCGGCGAGUGUGAUACUGCUGGUAGUGUAGCUUUGCCAGUUCAGUCACUCCGUCAUGGACCUUAGCUUGAUGCUGCUGCUUCUUUUGCUCCUUGACAUGCGGGUUAUGAGUGCAUCUCUUUUCUCUCCCUCUUGCAGUUGUCUGCAAUUACAGUGUCACCAUCAAAGGUCAUGAGUAGACAUAAAACGAUAUCAUUUCAUUAGUCCUCUCAUCACCACUUCAUCAACAGCUUUUACUUACUGAAUGACAUUGAUGGGUGCUUAGGUAUUUGUUAAUUUGGUCACUCAAAACAGAAAACUGGUCGAGUAUGCUUUGAUCUUACAACGUGUCACAUUGGUAAGAGGAAACUGAAAUAAUCAUAUUUAUAUAGAUAUGGCGUUGUAAAAUACGAGUAUGCAAGUAUCUACUCAAGUAUAAUGUACUAGCGAACAUUAGAAAAUCGAGUACUUCAAAAUCAUAGUUUCAAAGUCCUGAGUUUUUGAAAUGGGUUUAAUUUCUUCUAAAAUCAUAGGGCAUGGCAUUCAAUCUUAAAAAUUUGAGUCUGCUUAGAUGUUCAUAGUAAUGAAAACCUUGAUGGGAGGAGUUACUUAAACUAAGAAAAUGAAAGACAGAAAGACACCUAGUACCUCCAUAGCUCAUUAUAAACCAACCAAACAUUGCACACCACCAUUAAAACUCAACCACUCAGUAGUGACAAAAAUAUCACCAUUUUCUGGGAUCAGAAUUAUCCCAAUGACCAUAGGAAUGAAAAGAUGCAACCUUUUUUCCCCAAAUUUGACACAGAUAAGCAACAAGAAUCCAUAAUGAUGAAAACCAAGGAGGUAAAAGAGUAAAAGUUGGAACCUUUCGAGAAUUGGGAGCAACAACAACCCGGGAAGGCUUCUUCUUCAUCUUCUUAACAUCAACAGCAUACAAGUCAGCAUGCAGAUAGGCUGCCGGAACAUCGCUCUCACCAGAAGAAGAGCUGAACCUGAUCAAACCAGCUUGCCUUGCACACUCAAAAUACUGAGUGAUUGGCAGCUCAUUGGCAUAAUCCCAGUCCCCAAAAGCCGGAAUUUGACCGCUCCGUUUAUAGUAGUCCUGCCACCACCAUCAACCACAUCCAUGAUAAUUCAGCAAGAUAAACUACUUAAAACAACGAUAUCAAACAAGUGAAGCUAACACGGGAAUGUUGUUUGGAAGAAAAUUACUUACAUCCAUUGUGGAAGAAGGAAAGGAAGGAAAGGAAGGAAAUGAAGUUAUCACUGACAUUGUCAAGACGUUGAGAGAAUCAUUAAGGACCAUGUGGCGAUUCAUUCGAGCUGAUAAAAAUGCCAACAUAACUACUGCUUGUCGAAAAAGAUCAUUUCCAUCUAGCUUGGAUACAGAGCUUUUAGGACAAGUUCAAGCAGAUCUUCAAAAGAAAGAGAGGAUGCUUAAGGAGCUAAAGAGGAGUCAGAACCGGAUCAUAAAGAGAUUCCGAAAGCAUGAAGAAGGAGAAGAAGAUGAAGAGAGCGCUGAUCAUGUUCACUCUAGCUUCUUUUCUCAAGUUGACAUCAGAUUGGUUUCAAGGGUUCUGAACAUGUCAACUAUAACACAAGAUCAGCUAGUGUGGUGUCAAAGCAAGUUGAGCAAGAUACACUUCUUGAGGUGCAAGGUUCAUGAAGAUCCCUCUUUCUUGUGGUUUCCAUGUUAAUAGAGUCAACUUCUUUGUUCACUGAAACAAUCUAAAUUUCUUAUAUGUAAUUGUACAGUUGUAAUUCUAUAUUCCUGUAGUAGUACAAACAAUCUCUUCAGGAACUUUGCCGAAUACAAAAUAAUACUCCUAUAAAGAGAGAACAAAAAGAAAGUGAUGUAGAUGGUAGAUGCUCAUGCUCAUCCAACAUCCUCAUAUGAUGCUCAUGAUGCUCAUGCUCAUCCCCUCACAGGCCUAGCUUCAAGAAACGAAGUCAAGAUAGUUGAAAUGAUACCGGCUUCUUGACUCAACUCUAAUCCUGGUUUAACAGGCUAAAAGAGGUAAACGAGAUUCAUUUUGAUUGCUAACCUCUUAGUGUAUCAUAUGCAAAAGUUAAUUACCUAGUUUAGGGAAGAGCCUCAUGAAUCAGUCAGUGGGUGGUAGAAAAAGUUUCCUUGAUUAUACUAUCGUUGGCUGACCAUCCUUCUCCAGAAAUAGAAUGUUAAGUUGUCAUGGACUCACUCAAUUUCUACAGUUGGAGCGGCACGGCCUUACAAUGCAACCUUUCUUCCUUGAUUGAAGCAUGUUGAAGUUUCACUCGGGUUAUUGAUCUAUUUCUAGCAACUCUGGCAACAAAUGCUAUUGCGUACGAUAUUCACUCCUCCUAAUGAUCACAUCCUUUCGUUUGCUGUCAUUAAUGGGGAACAGUCUUUCAUCAUUGAGAAAGAGACUCACAUGCUUCUGAUAUCAAAUUUACAUCCUACAACAUAUGACGUAAGAUUAAAAGUAAAUGAGAAAAUAUGUAUUACAUAAGUAUAUAUGACAAACCAAAAAAUACUAACAGUCAGAAAAAAAAGAAUUUCACCUGAAGAAGUGAAUAAGAAUAAGAUUGAGAGAUGUUGUUUGUAGAUGAUGAAAGCCAUGAAGAGUUCGAAUACUCUUGGUGCUUGAAACGGAAAUUACUUAUGCCUGUCUACAACAUAAAAAGAGAAGAUAAUCAAUUAGAUAAAUACUGAGGACACUGCAACUUUUUUAGCUCUAAAUUGAUACAUGAGCAAUGCCAGAUUCAAUUGGUGUAAUUUGAAGCGAUUAAUCUAUAUGCAUUACUUAAUUUAGCUUACCGUGCUACGUAUUCUGAUGAUUUUACAAUGAGCUGCACAAGGCCUAGCCGUUUCACAUGUUGACGGGUUCUGCUUGUUCUAGGAGAGAUUAAAGUCUAAGUAAUUUAAGAGACCAUAACAAUGAAAAAUUACUGGUCGUGUUGAUCGUAGUUACUCUGACUUGCUACAAAAUAUUGAAGGGAAAUUCUACCUUCAAUGAACACGUGCCAAUAUAUGGGGAUGGAAGAUAACAGGAAAUGGAUGCCACUAGCAACUUCUGUGAAAAUGAAAGUAGUUGACAAUUAAUUUCCCCUGAAAAAAAUUAACUUGAUACAUCAAUGAUCACAUUACAUAAAUAACUAACUAUUUAGCUAGACAAAUCAUACAUAAAUGCUCCUCUGCGUUAAGCUUAUCAUGUGUUGCAAUAAGAGUUGUACAACAAUGAGCCGUCACCACAGAAAUCAGAAGUGAUUUACCAAGUUGAAAAAAUAAAAAAUAAAAAAAAUCACCCAUCCCAUAUGUGAUAACAAGUUGCAAACAUUGUAAUAUUUGGGAGGUGUGAAAUCUUACCAGAAGAGAAGACCAGUGAACAAUAUUUGGUCAUCUAAUUUUGAUGUGUGGGGCGUGAGAAAUCUUGGCCCACUACUCACUUGUUUUGUCCCGGAGAAUAUCACUGAGAAUCUCUGAACCGGAGAUGUCCACAGUCUGUAGUGGUGUGUUGCGCAGGAAGUCGGGCAGCGUACCAAGUUUCGGGCAACGAUGAAUUUCUAACGAAGACAGGCAGGGCAUUAUUAUAAUAUUAUUAUUCUGAAAAUCCCCUUCCCACUCUUCCCACUCUUCCAUAGCACCGAACUCGAGGGUUUUCAAUUUGGGGAAUAAAGACGAGGAGCCAUCAUCAUCAACUCCCAACAACAACUCGACUCCCACCUUUUUCACUUUGUUGAUCCCAGAAAAUACGAGAGACUCAAGCGACGGCAGUUUGCCCAAUGGACCCGAAAGCAGCUCACAGUUACCGAAUACACCGAGACGAAGCGUUUUCAACUUAUGUAAGGACAAGAUCCAAUUAGGCAAGAGAAUGCUGGCCUCACACCUCCAGAUACUCAACGAUUCCAAAUCUCUAUGUGGUUGCAACCCAUUCAGUAUUUCCAUAUCUAUGUGGCCCCCACCUUCUCGCCCACGACACUGGACACAUGCAAAAUCUAGUACCAGGUCAAAAAGACGUUUCUCACCCAAACAUGCCGCUACAGCCUCGCUCGCAUCUUCCACCGACUGCAAGUGUGAAAUGUAGAGACUCCCUUCAAGUUGGUGCAAGUCUUUUAAAUCUUCCAACUUCGACGUCCCUUCAUUGUCGGCACCUUUAUAACCAUUUAUAUGAAACGCAUCCAGCUUCUGCAAACCGGUUAACCCCCUUAUCCCUUUUGAUUUUAGACGACAGCACCUCCAGACAUAAAGAUGCUUUAGCUUGGUCAGCUUCCUCAUCGCCUCUUCAUCUGGUAAUUUGACAAGUUCACCGCAGAAUACAAGUCGCAAGGUUUGCAGAUUGUAUAGAUCACAUAAACUGUCAGGCAAUUCCUUCAAUUCAGAGUUCCACGACAAGUCCAGAUAUCUCAGAUGAAUCAAUCCACCAAUCUCCUUUGGAACUUCUAAAAUCGAGUUCUCACUCAAAUUCAAACUCCUAAGACUUUUUAAUUGCGAAAUCAACUCUACCCCGAUGCUAGUAAGUUUCGAUUCAAAACAUGUGAGAGUGCGAAGACUCUUACAGUUGAGAAAAGAAACCGGAAAAGGACCCUCUGGUGCAAACAUCAAAGAUAAAUGACGGACCUCAUCACCCGGUAACUCCAUUCUCUCAUUAGCACCCUUAACCACCAUACUAAAGCACUCAUCCUUGGUCAGGUAUUGCACAAAGUCAUGCACAAUAUCGUGCAUCUUACAUCUAGUAAUAUUUCCCAGCACAUCUUCCUUGAAAUCUUGAAAGAAAGACAGCAUUACUAAGUUUUCAAAACACCUUUGACCGACUAUUUUUCUCUCUUUGUUUCCUCCUUUGACUUCAAGAUAAUCUUGUGAUAUCCACAACUCAAUCAACUCAUCUUUAUCAAUUUCAUAAUCUUUAGGAAACGUGGCACAAUACAAGACACAACGUUUGGACAAUGAUUCUAAAUCAUAGUAACUUAGUAGUAAAGGUUGGAAAACCUGCUGCUCAAACUCUUGUAAUUCCCAGAUCUUACUAUUCAAAACAUCUACCCAUUGCUCUAUUGUAUUCUUAUACCGCAUUAGACUACCCAAAGUCUUUGCAGCAAGAGGCAAGCCUUUGCACCUCUUUACAAUUUUAU
This 10086-nucleotide long non-coding RNA is filed under the name Fragaria vesca (wild strawberry). RNAcentral's name for it is "long non-coding RNA (FVES_LNC002744)". Lineage: Eukaryota; Viridiplantae; Streptophyta; Magnoliopsida; Rosales; Rosaceae. The record is from RNAcentral.